RNAcentral lists this transfer RNA (87 nucleotides) under bacterium. Its description in RNAcentral is "tRNA-Ser". It matches the Rfam family "tRNA". From Rfam's summary of the family: Transfer RNA (tRNA) molecules are approximately 80 nucleotides in length. Their secondary structure includes four short double-helical elements and three loops (D, anti-codon, and T loops). Further hydrogen bonds mediate the characteristic L-shaped molecular structure. tRNAs have two regions of fundamental functional importance: the anti-codon, which is responsible for specific mRNA codon recognition, and the 3' end, to which the tRNAs corresponding amino acid is attached (by aminoacyl-tRNA synthetases). tRNAs cope with the degeneracy of the genetic code in two manners: having more than one tRNA (with a specific anti-codon) for a particular amino acid; and 'wobble' base-pairing, i.e. permitting non-standard base-pairing at the 3rd anti-codon position. The record is from RNAcentral.
GGAGGCGUGGCUGAGUGGUUUAAGGCGCCGGUCUCGAAAACCGGUUGGGGAGCAAUCCCCUCAGAGGUUCGACUCCUCUCGCCUCCG